RNAcentral lists this ribosomal RNA (891 nucleotides) under Triticum aestivum (bread wheat). RNAcentral describes it as "partial small subunit ribosomal RNA". Lineage: Eukaryota; Viridiplantae; Streptophyta; Magnoliopsida; Poales; Poaceae. The record is from RNAcentral.
AUGCACGGAAAGGCACAAGCACAGAUGGGUGCUACGGCCUUCUUCUACCUCUUGCUGUCCCUCUGGGUUCAUGAUGCAACUGGGGCUGCUCUUGGCUUCACAAGAAGUGAUUUCCCACAGGAGUUCGUCUUUGGAGCCGGAACCUCGGCAUAUCAAUAUGAGGGUGCUGUUGCUGAGGAUGGCAGGAGCCCGAGCAGUUGGGACACUUUCACUCACGCAGGCAAAAUGCCAGACAAAAGCACGGCAGAUGUUGCUGCAGAUGGGUACCACAAAUGCAUGGAGGAUGUCAAGCUCAUGUCUGAGACUGGCCUAGAGGCCUAUAGGUUCUCCAUCUCCUGGUCAAGGCUUAUUCCAAAUGGACGCGGAGCUGUCAAUCCCAAAGUGCUAGAGUACUACAAUAACCUCAUUGAUGAGCUAGUGAACCAUGGAAUUCAAGUCCACAUCACACUUCACCAUCUAGAUCUCCCUCAGAUUCUUGAAGACGAGUACGGUGGAUGGUUAAGCCCCAGAAUUAUCGAAGAUUUCACAGCAUAUGCAGAUGUUUGCUUCAGGGAGUUUGGAGACAGGGUUGCAUCUUGGACGACAAUGAAUGAACCAAACAUUGGUAUAAUGGCCUCUUAUGACGUUGGUAUAUUCCCUCCUGGUCGUUGCUCAGAUCCAUUUGGAGCAAUAAAGUGCACCGCUGGGGACUCUAGUGUGGAACCAUACAUAGCAGCUCAUAAUACCCUUAUGGCGCAUGCAUCGGUUGCCAGUCUGUAUAGAGAAAAAUAUCAAGCCAUGCAAAAAGGAGUUGUUGGCAUAAGUAUGUACUCCUACUGGAGUUACCCGCUGACAAAUUCCACUGUGGAUUUAGAUGCAACCCAGAGAUGUAAAGAUUUCUUAUUUGGCUAG